GAAUCCCGUCUUUGGCACGGAUGCACCAGGGCUUUUGUGAUGCGCUCUCGAAGAGUCGAGUUGUUUGGGAAUGCAGCUCAAAAUGGGUGGUGAACUCCAUCUAAGGCUAAAUAUUGGCGAGAGACCGAUAGCGAACAAGUACCGUGAGGGAAAGAUGAAAAGCACUUUGGAAAGAGAGUGAAACAGUACGUGAAAUUGUUGAAAGGGAAACGCUUGAAGUCAGUCGCGUCGACCGAGACUCAGCCUUGCCUCGGCUCGGUGUACUUCUCGGCCGACGGGUCAGCAUCAAUUUUGCCCCUCGGAUAAUGGCGAGAGAAAGGUGGCACCCUCACGGGUGUGUUAUAGUCUCCCGUCGGAUGCGAGGGUCGGGAUUGAGGAACUCGGCACGUACCGUGCUUAGGAUGUUGGCAUAAUGGCUUUAAACGACCCGUCUUGAAACACGGACCAAGGAGUCUAACAUGCCCGCGAGUGUUCGGGUGGAAAACCCGUGCGCGUAAUGAAAGUAAAAGUUGGGACCCCUGUCGUGGGGGGCACCGACGCCCGGACCAGACCUUCUGUGACGGAUCUGCGGUAGAGCGUGCAUGUUGGGACCCGAAAGAUGGUGAACUAUGCCUGAAUAGGGUGAAGCCAGAGGAAACUCUGGUGGAGGCUCGUAGCGAUUCUGACGUGCAAAUCGAUCGUCAAAUUUGGGUAUAGGGGCGAAAGACUAAUCGAACCAUCUAGUAGCUGGUUCCUGCC
Molecule: ribosomal RNA, 738 nt
Filed under: uncultured Russula
Lineage: Eukaryota; Fungi; Basidiomycota; Agaricomycetes; Russulales; Russulaceae
Description: partial 28S ribosomal RNA
Rfam family: Eukaryotic large subunit ribosomal RNA
Source: RNAcentral